This 465-nucleotide ribosomal RNA is filed under the name uncultured bacterium. Its description in RNAcentral is "partial 16S ribosomal RNA". It matches the Rfam family "Bacterial small subunit ribosomal RNA", at positions 28 to 507 of the family's 1533-position model. The record is from RNAcentral.
GACGAACGCUGGCGGCGUGCUUAACACAUGCAAGUCGAACGGAAAGGCCCCUUCGGGGGUACUCGAGUGGCGAACGGGUGAGUAACACGUGAGUAACCUGCCCUUGACUUCGGGAUAACUUCAGGAAACUGGGGCCAAUACCGGAUAGGAAUCCUUGCUGCAUGGUGGGGGUUGGAAAGCUUCGGCGGUUUUGGAUGGACUCGCGGCUUAUCAGCUUGUUGGUGGGGUAGUGGCUUACCAAGGCUUUGACGGGUAGCCGGCCUGAGAGGGCGACCGGCCACAUUGGGACUGAGAUACGGCCCAGACUCCUACGGGAGGCAGCAGUGGGGAAUAUUGCACAAGGGGCGGAAGCCUGAUGCAGCAACGCCGCGUGCGGGAUGACGGCCUUCGGGUUGUAAACCGCUUUCAGCAGGGGCGAAGCUUGUGGUGACGGUACCUGCAGAAGAAGCACCGGCUAACUACGUG